CAGAAUCAGACGUUCAGAGUCAGCCUCGCUGUGUUGUCUGGGUCCAGCCUGAAGCACAUGAAGACCUCGUCUUACACCAAUGAAGCAGACACAGUACCUUCAUGGAAGAACAAACAGGUUCCUGCCCUGCUUGAGUUCCUGCCCUGACUUCCCUCAGUGACGGACUGAUACCUGGAAAUUAACAAAAAAACAGGCCAGUUGUAGCAGUGCACACCUGUGAUCCCAGCACUUGGAGAAGUUCAAGGUCAUCCUCGGCAGCCUGGGAUACAGGAGACCCUGUUUCAAUGACUGAAGAGAAAACUCCUGCAAGAAGCUCACGCUCUCUUGACAUGAAGGAGGAGUUUGACUUCACAGAAACAUCUAGCUUUCGCCUGAGAGACCCAUCCAGCGGCAGCUCCCACUCAAACCUGGAAAAGCACUCGAUAUCAGAGCCCAGCUGACGCCGUCCGCCUCUCCGUGUAAACGCCCACUCACUGACUGUUCAUUGAAGUCGGGGUUGAGGGUCCUCUUCUUCUGAGAGGUCUUCCUCUUGGUGCCUCGAUUCUUGUCUGGCAGCAGCAGCAGCGACACAUAGGGGUCCGGGAGAUCGCGGCCAUUCUGUCGAAGGGCUCUGCAACAGAGGGGUGUGGGCACUGAAGCACCCACGGCAGAGGAUGGAGGGGACCGAGGAGGGCAGGUGGGCGGGGUCUCACCGGCAGCUGUGAACAAUGCUGACCAGCUUUUGCUCGUCGCUGUGGUACCAUAGUGUCAGUCUCACCUGGCCCAGAGGCCCAACAGGAGCCUCCGAGGGGCUGUGGGAAGACGGAGAGAUGGCGUCUAGGAAACCCGUGAGUCAGACUUCAUACUCUUGCCUGCACACCACUUCAUGGCAGUCUUACCUGUCACCAUGCGGGAGGCGAUGCCUGACCUCCAAGACUGGGGAGGUGGCGUGAACGGGUGCCCCUGGGGCCUCAGGUUCCUCACUGAGAGAAGAGGAGCUGUGACUGUGAGCUUCCACUCCAGAGUGCUGGGACACCAGGAUCUGGGGGCAGGAGAGCUGGGCGUUUCCUCACUAGAAGGGCACAACCUCUGCUCCACCCUUUGGGGUUCAGCCCUGAGCCACCCUGCCCCCUCCGGGGACUCACCCCCAGCUGUGCUCUUAUUAGCACCUGGCCCUGACCGUUACUGAGCGCAAACCAGUUGUCCAAGCAGAGUCGGUCUGCCUGGAGGAGCUCGGAGAGAGGCAGGGAUACGGAGCCCAGGGUGCCGGUUCCUUCACCCCGAACCUGUGGGGCAAAUGCACUGAUCAAUUAUUGAAGCUUGGCAUUUAUGAGCCAAACACUGGGGUGGUUUUGGUGAGAGUCCCCUUAGGGAGGAACAGAGUACAUUACAGCUGCUAGCCCCACCCCCCGAAAAUAGCCUCAUCCAGGCUGCCUUCAGAUCCUUG
Peromyscus eremicus (cactus mouse) is the source of this 1426-nucleotide long non-coding RNA. RefSeq lists it as uncharacterized. The transcript is spliced from 4 exons. The record is from RefSeq and is a predicted model, not a curated record. Lineage: Eukaryota; Metazoa; Chordata; Mammalia; Rodentia; Cricetidae.